Ribosomal RNA from Scophthalmus maximus (turbot), 119 nucleotides. Lineage: Eukaryota; Metazoa; Chordata; Actinopteri; Pleuronectiformes; Scophthalmidae. The record is from Ensembl.
GCUUACGGCCACACCGCCUGGUUCACGCCAGAUCUCGUUUGAUCUCGGAAGAUAAGAUAGGUUGGGCCUGGUUAGUACUUGGAUGGGAGACCGCCUGGGAAUACCAGGUGCUGUAAGCU